CCUAAGACAUGCAAGUCGAACGAAGUGGCCCAUUGAUACUGUGUGCUUGCACAUAGUUGAUUUGGAUCCCACUUAGUGGCGAAAGGGUGAGUAACACGUGGGUUAUCUACCCUCAGAGACUGGAAUAACAAUUGGAAACGAUUGCUAAUGCCGGAUGAUAUAUAAGAUGAUACUUUUAUCGCAUGGUAGAAGUAUCAAAAGCUCUGGCGGUACAGGAUGGACCCGCGUCUGAUUAGCUAGUUGGUGAGGUAAUGGCUCACCAAGGCGACGAUCAGUAGCCGACCUGAGAGGGUGAUCGGCCGCAUUGGGACUGAGACACGGCCCAGACUCCUACGGGAGGCAGCAGUGGGGAAUAUUGCGCAAUGGGGGCAACCCUGACGCAGCAACGCCGCGUGCAGGAAGAAGGUCUUCGGAUUGUAAACUGUUGUCGCAAGGGAAGAAGAAAGUGACGGUACCUUGUGAGAAAGCCACGGCUAACUACGUG
This 484-nucleotide ribosomal RNA is filed under the name uncultured bacterium. RNAcentral describes it as "bacterial SSU rRNA". It matches the Rfam family "Bacterial small subunit ribosomal RNA", at positions 47 to 507 of the family's 1533-position model. The record is from RNAcentral.